Long non-coding RNA from Passer domesticus (house sparrow), 1572 nucleotides. RefSeq lists it as uncharacterized. The transcript has 3 exons. NCBI's taxonomy places the organism in Eukaryota, Metazoa, Chordata, Aves, Passeriformes, Passeridae. The record is from RefSeq and is a predicted model, not a curated record.
GAGCUGGGCUGGGGCUUUGGGCAUUUACUUCCAGAGGCAGAGCCUUGCACGGUGCUCAGAGCCCUGUGGAGCUCACAGUGGGACACAGGGCCCACUGAGGAUGAGUGGGAUGAGGAUGAUCCAGAUUCAGCCCAGGACUCUAGGGAUGCAUAUUCCUCUCCUGGAACUUGUAUAUCCGGCCUGAGGAUGAAAACCCCCCCAAGGCCUGAGCAUAACAAGCAUUUCUUGUGUUUCUCCUGUCUCCGUCACAUCGGGCAUGUAGCGAAUGCUCGGGCUGAUAAACAGCAUCUGGUUGGAGUCAGGAGGCGGAGGAAAUUCUUGUACAGAAAUGGAAACGCACCCCUCCUGCCAAGCUAUUAAUUCUGCUUCCUAUGGAAAGCGAGGGGUCCCUGCCUUUGUGCUCUGAUUCUGCGCUGAACUUCCAAGUUUAUUUUUAUGCCCAGAUUUGGCAAAGCACUGAGGGCUGAGGGUGGUGCUGCGUGUGAGCUGAGGUCUCUCCCUGCUCUGUCUGAAACACCUACCAGCACCCACAGGCACGUGCUCCAGCAAACACCCCCACACUGCGCUUGUUCCUUACUAUGAGACUUUCUUUUCUUGUCCUUGCCAAGUUAUCGUCUGCUUUAAUUAAUUUUGCACAGUGAGCCUGGGAGCUGCUGGUGGUUUUGAGCCUCUGGAAUAGUCAGGGAAGCAAUUUAAUCAGCAUGAGUGAGCCAAAGUUACUUAAGCGAUUUGUAAUAAGUUCCAGGCUCUUCCACACCAAAGGGGUUUCAGCCGAGGACAGAAACUUCCUGAGCCUGUUCUGCAGGAUGGGCUCUUCAUCUGCAUCUGACCGACACUUGUGUGGGGAUGUGGGGCAGCCCUGAAUGAGAAUUCACAGAAUCACAGGGUGUUUGGGGCUGGAAAUUACCUUUAAAGUCCAUUUAGUCCAAGCCCCUGCUGUGGGCAGGGACAUCUUCACCUCCAGAGCCUUGUGUAUGUACAAAAUGCCACAGCAUUGUCAAAAAGUUAUGAGUGGAAUUUCACCUCCAACCACAAGUAUAAAAUAUUGGUGAGCCUUAGGCUGAAUUUGUCAGCCCUGCACUGACCAAGGCAGUGGUGGUUCUGUUUUUUCAGAAAACAUAAAAUCCAAGAAAUUCCCCAGUGACUAAGCAGGCACUGUAAAUUGGUUGCUAUUGUAAAGCUGUGGGUGACAUUUCCUCAGCUUUGAACAGACCAAAUAUACAAGAGUGGAAAAAAGACAGCUAGAGAGGAAUGAACACAAAAGGCUGUGCCUUUAAUUAAUGCUGCUGUUUUCUUCACCAUUUCCAAGGAAACUCACUGCUGAUAUUGAAACUAGAUUUAAUAUUGUGACUUGUAUAAGAAGAUGGUGGAUUUUAAGGUGUCUGAAUCCUUAUCAUCCCCUUGCACAGGACAAGGGGAAGAAAGGGGUCAGCAGGUGUUGCUGUGGGUUUUGCAGCCCCUGUGGUGGGGCUGGCUUUGGGGCAGGGGGUGCUGCUCCCCCUCUGCAGCCCACGAGCACAGAGCAGACCCAGCAGGUUCUCGUUUGGGCUGGGCUUUCCUCUCCUGUGCCAU